AUUGAACGCUGGCGGCAUGCCUAACACAUGCAAGUCGAACGGCAGCAUGGUCUAGCUUGCUAGACUGAUGGCGAGUGGCGAACGGGUGAGUAAUGCGCAGGAAUAUACCUUAAAGACUGGGACAACUUGGGGAAACUCAAGCUAAUACCGGAUGAGCUCUGAGGAGGAAAGCUGGGGACCGUAAGGCCUGGCGCUUUAGGAAUAGCCUGCGUCCGAUUAGCUAGUUGGUGGGGUAAGAGCCUACCAAGGCAGUGAUCGGUAGCUGGUCUGAGAGGAUGGUCAGCCACACUGGGACUGAGACACGGCCCAGACUCCUACGGGAGGCAGCAGUGGGGAAUAUUGGACAAUGGGGGGAACCCUGAUCCAGCAAUGCCGCGUGUGUGAAGAAGGCCUGAGGGUUGUAAAGCACUUUCAGUGGGGAGGAGGAUUGAUUGGUUAAGAGCUGAUUGAUUGGACGUUACCCACAGAAGAAGCACCGGCUAACUCCGUGCCAGCAGCCGCAGUAAAAC
Molecule: ribosomal RNA, 509 nt
Filed under: uncultured bacterium
Lineage: Bacteria
Description: bacterial SSU rRNA
Rfam family: Bacterial small subunit ribosomal RNA
Source: RNAcentral